RNAcentral lists this ribosomal RNA (1711 nucleotides) under Mermithidae sp. MHMH-2008. RNAcentral describes it as "SSU rRNA". It matches the Rfam family "Eukaryotic small subunit ribosomal RNA". RNAcentral also lists the same sequence under 1 other name. The record is from RNAcentral. Lineage: Eukaryota; Metazoa; Nematoda; Enoplea; Mermithida; Mermithidae.
AUGUCUAAGCACAUGCCUUAAAAUGGUAAAGCCGCGAAUGGCUCGGUAUAACAGCUACGGUUUAUUAGAUUUUUGUUAUCUACAUGGAUAACUGUGGUAAUUCUAGAGCUAAAACAUGCAAAAAAGCUCGGACCUUACGGAAUGAGCGCAUUUAUUAGAACAAAACCAAUCGAACUGCGUAACAGCGGCUCGUCAAUUGGUGACUCUGAAUAACUUUAGUUGAUCGCAUAGUCAUAGUACUGGCGACGUAUCUUUCAAAUAUCUGCCUUAUCAACUUUCGAUGGUAGGUUAUAUGCCUACCAUGGUUAUAACGGGUAACGGAGAAUAAGGGUUCGACUCCGGAGAGGGAGCCUGAGAAAUGGCUACCACAUCCAAGGAAGGCAGCAGGCGCGCAAAUUACCCAAUCCCGGUACGGGGAGGUAGUGACGAAAAAUAACGAGACAGUCCACUAUGUGGCCUGUCAUCGGAAUGGGUACAAUUUAAAUCUUUUAACGAGGAUCAAUUAGAGGGCAAGUCUGGUGCCAGCAGCCGCGGUAAUUCCAGCUCUAAUAGCGUAUAUUAAAGUUGUUGUGGUUAAAACGCCCGUAGUUGAUUGUUCGACUACGAAGCGCGGUAGCUCGAAAGGGCUUAACUGCGUUUUCGAGUCUGAAUUUCAAGUUUUCCACUGAUGCUCUUUAUUGAGUGUCUUUGGUGACUUGAACGUUUACUUUGAAAAAAUUAGAGUGCUUAAAGCAAGCUUAACGCUUGAAUAUAGUGCAUGGAAUAAUAGAAUAAGAUUUCAGCCUUAUUUUAUUGGUUUUCGAGGUUGAAUUAAUGAUUAAUAGAAUCUGCCGAGGGCAUUCGUAUUGUUGCGUUAGAGGUGAAAUUCUUAGAUCGCAGCAAGACGACCAACUGCGAAAGCAUUUGCCAAGAAUGUUUUCAUUAAUCAAGGACGAAAGUUAGAGGUUCGAAGGCGAUCAGAUACCGCCCUAGUUCUAACCGUAAACGAUGCCAACUGGCCAUUCGCCGAUGUUAAUUUAUGACUCGGCGGGCGGCCCCCGGGAAACCAAAGUUUUCUGGUUCCGGGGGAAGUAUGGUUGCAAAGCUUAAACUUAAAGGAAUUGACGGAAGGGCACCACCAGGAGUGGAGCCUGCGGCUUAAUUUGACUCAACACGGGAAAACUCACCCGGCCAAGACACAAUAAGGAUUGACAGAUUGAUAGCUCUUUCUCGAUUUUGUGGGUGGUGGUGCAUGGCCGUUCUUAGUUGGUGGAGCGAUUUGUCUGGUUAAUUCCGAUAACGAACGAGACUCUAGCCUAUUAAAUAGACGCGAUAUUCGAUUAGUAUAACGUUCUUCUUAGAGGGACAAGCAGCUUCUAGCUGCGCGAGAUUGAGCAAUAACAGGUCUGUGAUGCCCUUAGAUGUCCGGGGCUGCACGCGCGCUACAAUGGAGAUAACAUUGUGCGUAGCGUCCAUGUCCGAAAGGACUUGGUAAACACGAAUUAUUUUCGUGCUUGGGAUAGGCGAUUGCAAUUAUUUGCCUUAAACGAGGAAUUUCUAGUAAGCGUGAGUCAUAAGCUCGCGCUGAUUACGUCCCUGCCCUUUGUACACACCGCCCGUCGCUACUACGAAUUGGUGGUAUCAGCGAAGCACUUGGACCGAGUGCGAAGUGGCCGUAAAAAGUCGCUACGUAGCUUGGAAAGAGUUCUUAGCCGUUGCCACUAGACGAAGU